UACAGAGGGGGCAAGCGUUGUUCGGAAUUACUGGGCGUAAAGGGCGCGUAGGCGGCCCGCUAAGUCGAACGUGAAAUCCCCGGGCUCAACCCGGGAACUGCGUCCGAUACUGGUGGGCUUGAAUCCGGGAGAGGGAUGCGGAAUUCCAGGUGUAGCGGUGAAAUGCGUAGAUAUCUGGAGGAACACCGGUGGCGAAGGCGGCAUCCUGGACCGGUAUUGACGCUGAUGCGCGAAAGCCAGGGGAGCAAACGGG
RNAcentral lists this ribosomal RNA (253 nucleotides) under uncultured bacterium. RNAcentral's name for it is "partial 16S ribosomal RNA". It matches the Rfam family "Bacterial small subunit ribosomal RNA", at positions 524 to 776 of the family's 1533-position model. The record is from RNAcentral.